RNAcentral lists this small RNA (2369 nucleotides) under Pan troglodytes (chimpanzee). Its description in RNAcentral is "retained intron". Lineage: Eukaryota; Metazoa; Chordata; Mammalia; Primates; Hominidae. The record is from RNAcentral.
CUAGGAGAAGGGGGCGCUUCAAAGGGUUGAAUGGGCGCUACUUCCAGCAGCAGGAACCGGAGCCGGGGCUGCAAGGGGGGAUGGAGGCCAGCGCCCAGCCCCCCACCUCAGAGGCUGCAGGGAACCAAAUGGAGCCUCCGUUGGCCAUGGCAGUCACAGAGAUGUUGGGCAGUGGCCAGAGCCGGAGCCCCUGGGCUGAUCUGACCAAUGAGGUGGAUAUGCCUGGAGCUGGUUCCGCUGGUGGCAAGAGCUCCCCAGAGCCCUGGCUGUGGCCCCCUACCAUGGUCCCACCCAGCAUCUCAGGCCACAGCAGGGCCCCUGUCCUGGAGCUAGAGAAAGCCGAGGGCCCCAGUGCCAGGCCAGCCACCCCAGACCUGUUUUGGUCCCCCUUGGAGGCCACUGUCUCAGCUCCCAGCCCUGCCCCCUGGGAGGCAUUCCCUGUGGCCACCUCCCCAGAUCUCCCUAUGAUGGCCAUGCUGCGUGGUCCCAAAGAGUGGAUGCUACCACACCCCACCCCCAUCUCCACCGAGGCCAAUAGAGUUGAGGCACAUGGUGAGGCCACCACCACGCCUCCACCCUCCCCUGCUGCAGAGACCAAGGUGUAUUCCCUGCCUCUCUCUUUGACCCCAACAGGACAGGGUGGAGAGGCCAUGCCCACAACACCUGAGUCCCCCGGGGCAGACUUCAGAGAAACUGGGGAGACCAGCCCUGCUCAGGUCAACAAAGCUGAGCACUCCAGCUCCAGCCCAUGGCCUUCUGUAAACAGGAAUGUGGCUGUAGGUUUUGUCCCCACUGAGACUGCCACUGAGCCAACGGGCCUCAGGGGUAUCUCGGGGUCUGAGUCUGGGGUCUUGGACACAGCAGAAAGCCCCACUUCUGGCUUGCAGGCCACUGUAGAUGAGGUGCAGGACCCCUGGCCCUCAGUGUACAGCAAAGGGCUGGGUGCAAGUUCCCCAUCUGCGCCCCUGGGGAGCCCUGGAGUCUUCUUGGUACCUAAAGUCACCCCAAGUUUGGAGCCUUGGGUUGCUACAGAUGAAGGACCCACUGUGAAUCCCAUGGAUUCCACAGUCACGCUGGCCCCCAGUGAUGCUAGUGGAAUUUGGGAACCUGGAUCCCAAGUGUUUGAAGAAGCCGAAAGCACCACCUUGAGCCCUCAGGUGGCCCUGGAUACAAGCAUUGUGACGCCCCUCACGACCCUGGAGCAGGGGGACAAGGUUGGAGUUCCAGCCAUGUCUACACUGGGCUCCUCAAGCUCCCAACCCCACCCAGAGCCAGAGGAUCAGGUGGAGACCCAGGGAACAUCAGGAGCUUCAGUGCCUCCGCAUCAGAGCAGUCCCCUAGGGAAACCGGCUGUUCCUCCUGGGACACCGACUGCAGCCAGUGUGGGCGAGUCUGCCUCAGUUUCCUCAGGGGAGCCUACGGUACCGUGGGACCCCUCCAGCACCCUGCUGCCUGUCACCCUGGGCAUAGAGGACUUCGAACUGGAGGUCCUGGCAGGGAGCCCGGGUGUAGAGAGCUUCUGGGAGGAGGUGGCAAGUGGAGAGGAGCCAGCCCUGCCAGGGACCCCUAUGAAAGCAGGUGCGGAGGAGGUGCACUCAGAUCCCUGUGAGAACAACCCUUGUCUUCAUGGAGGGACAUGUAAUGCCAAUGGCACCAUGUAUGGCUGUAGCUGUGAUCAGGGCUUCGCUGGGGAGAACUGUGAGAUUGACAUUGAUGACUGCCUCUGCAGCCCCUGUGAGAAUGGAGGCACCUGUAUUGAUGAGGUCAAUGGCUUUGUCUGCCUUUGCCUCCCCAGCUAUGGGGGCAGCUUUUGUGAGAAAGACACCGAGGGCUGUGACCGUGGCUGGCACAAGUUCCAGGGCCACUGUUAUCGCUAUUUUGCCCACCGGAGGGCAUGGGAAGAUGCCGAGAGGGACUGCCGCCGCCGCUCCGGCCACCUGACCAGCGUCCACUCAUCGGAGGAACACAGCUUCAUUAAUAGUAGGGGCUCUGGGGAGGGGGCCACCUGCCUGGAGGGUGGGCAGGGGUGGCACUUGUAGCCCUUUUGCCAGGGCAUCGCAUCCCUCCCCUGGUUUUCAAGACAUCAUCUUUCCAAAGCUGUGUUCAUUAAUGCAAGCCCUGACUGCUUCUUAAUGCAUGAAAUCUGUCAAUUCACUUGUUAAUUCAUACAUUCACUUCAUUCAUUCAUUCAUUCAUUCACCAAAUAUUUACUGAGCACCUGCUAUGUGCCGGGCACCAUUCCAGGAAUAUUGACACAGCACAGCAGCAAUCAAGGCUGACUUUGCUCUGUCCCCAGGGAGUGACCAUUUCUUGGGGAGGAUAUAGACAAGCAAGUAAAUAUCUAAGUAAAUAAGUCUAUACUGUAAUUC